RNAcentral lists this ribosomal RNA (249 nucleotides) under uncultured bacterium. RNAcentral describes it as "partial 16S ribosomal RNA". It matches the Rfam family "Bacterial small subunit ribosomal RNA", at positions 1254 to 1500 of the family's 1533-position model. The record is from RNAcentral.
CCUGCGAAGGCAAGCGGAUCUCUUAAAGCCGUUCUCAGUUCGGACUGUAGGCUGCAACUCGCCUACACGAAGCUGGAAUCGCUAGUAAUCGCGGAUCAGCACGCCGCGGUGAAUACGUUCCCGGGCCUUGUACACACCGCCCGUCACACCAUGAGAGUCUGUAACACCCAAAGCCGGUGGGAUAACCUUUAUAGGAGUCAGCCGUCUAAGGUAGGACAGAUGAUUAGGGUGAAGUCGUAACAAGGUAUC